Gambusia affinis (western mosquitofish) is the source of this 67-nucleotide small nucleolar RNA. Its record names the gene SNORD58. It matches the Rfam family "Small nucleolar RNA SNORD58". Rfam says of the family: snoRNA U58 is found in introns 1, 3 and 6 of the ribosomal protein RPL17 gene in humans. U58 is a member of the C/D class of snoRNA which contain C (UGAUGA) and D (CUGA) box motifs. NCBI's taxonomy places the organism in Eukaryota, Metazoa, Chordata, Actinopteri, Cyprinodontiformes, Poeciliidae. The record is from Ensembl.
CUGCCAUGAUGACCUUCUUAGGACACCUUUGGAUUAAUGAUGAAAACAAACUCUUAGUCUGAGCAGC